RNAcentral lists this ribosomal RNA (294 nucleotides) under uncultured bacterium. RNAcentral's name for it is "partial 16S ribosomal RNA". It matches the Rfam family "Bacterial small subunit ribosomal RNA", at positions 335 to 621 of the family's 1533-position model. The record is from RNAcentral.
GUUCCUACGGGAGGCAGCAGUAGGGAAUCUUCCACAAUGGGCGAAAGCCUGAUGGAGCAACGCCGCGUGGGUGAAGAAGGUCUUCGGAUCGUAAAACCUUGUUGUUAGAGAAGAAAGUGCGUGAGAGUAACUGUUCACGUUUCGACGGUAUCUAACCAGAAAGCCACGGCUAACUACGUGCCAGCAGCCGCGGUAAUACGUAGGUGGCGAGCGUUGUCCGGAUUUAUUGGGCGUAAAGCGAACGCAGGCGGUCUUUUAAGUCUGAAGUGAAAGGCUUUGGCUUAACCGGAGUCG